Erinaceus europaeus (western European hedgehog) is the source of this 315-nucleotide unclassified non-coding RNA. Its record names the gene 7SK. It matches the Rfam family "7SK RNA". Rfam says of the family: 7SK was discovered as an abundant small nuclear RNA in the mid-70s but a possible function has only recently been suggested. Two independent studies have found that 7SK RNA binds the CDK9/cyclin T complex (known as elongation factor P-TEFb). The record is from Ensembl. NCBI's taxonomy places the organism in Eukaryota, Metazoa, Chordata, Mammalia, Eulipotyphla, Erinaceidae.
CAAUGUGAGGGCGAUCUGGCUGUUACAUCCAUCACGCCACUGAUUAACAAGGUUGAUUCGGCUGAUCUGGCUGGCUAGGUGGGUGUCCCCUUUCUCCUUCACCACUCCAUGUGCAUCCCUCCUGAAGCUGCACGCUCAGUUGAAGAGGGUGGCCUUCCCCAAAUAGAGAUGGACCGGUAUUCAGUCGAGGGUAUACGAGUAGCUGCACCCCCCUGCUAGAACCUCCAAACAAGCUAUCAAGAACAUUGUCUGGGAAGAUGUAGUCAGAGUUGGGAAUAGAACUAGAGAGCUGGAUUAGGGCAGAGCGUAGCUUCU